UACGUAGGUGGCAAGCGUUGUCCGGAUUUACUGGGCGUAAAGAGCGCGCAGGCGGUCGUUCAAGUCGCGUGUGAAAGCCCCCGGCUCAACUGGGGAGGGUCACGCGAUACUGAUCGACUCGAAGGCAGGAGAGGGUAGUGGAAUUCCCGGUGUAGUGGUGAAAUGCGUAGAUAUUGGGAGGAACACCAGUGGCGAAGGCGGCUACCUGGACCGGUUCUGACGCUGAGGCGCGAAAGCGUGGGUAGCAAACAGG
Molecule: ribosomal RNA, 253 nt
Filed under: uncultured bacterium
Lineage: Bacteria
Description: partial 16S ribosomal RNA
Rfam family: Bacterial small subunit ribosomal RNA
Source: RNAcentral